UAAUACGGAGGUGGCAAGCGUUGUUCGGAAUUACUGGGCGUAAAGGGCGCGUAGGCGGGGAGGUAAGUCGGGUGUGAAAUCCCUCGGCUCAACCGAGGAACUGCGCCCGAGACUGCUUCUCUUGAGUCCCGGAGAGGAAGGUGGAAUUCCCGGUGUAGCGGUGAAAUGUGUAGAGAUCGGGAGGAACACCGGUGGCGAAGGCGGCCUUCUGGACGGUGACUGACGCUGAGGCGCGAAAGCGUGGGGAGCAAACGGGAUUAGAUACCCCGGUAGUCCACGCGGUAAACGAUGGGUGCUAGGUGUGGGGGGUAUCGACCCCUCCCGUGCCGAAGCUAACGCAUUAAGCACCCCGCCUGGGGAGUACGGCCGCAAGGUUGAAACUUAAAUGAAUUGACGG
RNAcentral lists this ribosomal RNA (397 nucleotides) under uncultured bacterium. RNAcentral's name for it is "bacterial SSU rRNA". It matches the Rfam family "Bacterial small subunit ribosomal RNA", at positions 521 to 916 of the family's 1533-position model. The record is from RNAcentral.